AGCUUUGCACAGUGGCAGUAUCAUAGUCAGUGAGGUUUAUUCAAGGCAAAAUUAUUGCUAAUUGGAAAUUUUUCCAAAUUCCUACCC
RNAcentral lists this small nuclear RNA (87 nucleotides) under Carlito syrichta (Philippine tarsier). RNAcentral's name for it is "U4 spliceosomal RNA (ENSTSYG00000023251.2)". It matches the Rfam family "U4 spliceosomal RNA", at positions 1 to 87 of the family's 138-position model. Rfam says of the family: U4 small nuclear RNA (U4 snRNA) is a component of the major U2-dependent spliceosome. The structure of U4 snRNA from yeast and human has been reported. U4 snRNA presents a k-turn RNA motif in the 5p-SL related to recognition of Snu13 protein. Lineage: Eukaryota; Metazoa; Chordata; Mammalia; Primates; Tarsiidae. The record is from RNAcentral.